CUCCAGGCUCCUAUCGAAGCCGUUGUUGCUCUUUUUAGUAGCAUUCAACGGUCAAAAGGAAGCCGACAGAAAAACUUUCACCGACGGUCGCUGUUCGGUUUAAACGAAUAACUGAUACAGCAACAUUUUUGGGAAAGGAUAUUC
Hippocampus comes (tiger tail seahorse) is the source of this 144-nucleotide small nucleolar RNA. NCBI's taxonomy places the organism in Eukaryota, Metazoa, Chordata, Actinopteri, Syngnathiformes, Syngnathidae. The record is from Ensembl.